Molecule: unclassified non-coding RNA, 202 nt
Filed under: Hevea brasiliensis (rubber tree)
Lineage: Eukaryota; Viridiplantae; Streptophyta; Magnoliopsida; Malpighiales; Euphorbiaceae
Source: RNAcentral
GGUUUGAAGAUGAUCUACUAUAAGAAAGCAAUGGUCUGGUUUGUUGGUUUGGCUUCCUGGGUUAUGUGCUGUGCUUGCUGGUUGUAGUUUGAAGAGUGUCGUUCUUGCUUGGUCCUUGGUCUAGGAGUGUGCUCUGUGCGAAAAGAGGACCUCUCAUACUUUAGCUGUCUCGCAUCUCUAGGAUUCACUUCUACAUUCCGGC